Molecule: long non-coding RNA, 305 nt
Filed under: Ananas comosus (pineapple)
Lineage: Eukaryota; Viridiplantae; Streptophyta; Magnoliopsida; Poales; Bromeliaceae
Description: long non-coding RNA (ACOM_LNC033106)
Source: RNAcentral
AUGAGUGAAAUUGUGGUUGUAAUUUGUUUUGAUACCAUCUUAAUCUAUCAUACUCCGAGACUUUUUUUGUAAAGCUUUUUUUAGAAAAUGUAUAAGUUUGAAAAUAGAAUCAGCAGAAAAUGCCUUCUUUUUUUUUUUUGAAAUACAACUUUGCCCACAGAACGGACAAAUCUGCCAUGACUACAGGAAUUUCUCUGUACACACGGAUAGAGUCUUUUCUAUAUUUGUAUAGCAUACACACCUAUUACAUACCGCAACCCACAAUUUUCAUUCACACAACCAAAUAAUCAUAUCAUGCUGAAUGC